GGAGGUAUAACUCAAUGGAAGAGCACUUGCCUAGCAUGUGCAAGGGCCUGGGUUUAAUUCUCAGUACUGUUU
RNAcentral lists this transfer RNA (72 nucleotides) under Marmota monax (woodchuck). RNAcentral's name for it is "tRNA.Ala". The record is from RNAcentral. Lineage: Eukaryota; Metazoa; Chordata; Mammalia; Rodentia; Sciuridae.